This 1158-nucleotide unclassified non-coding RNA is filed under the name Hevea brasiliensis (rubber tree). The record is from RNAcentral. Lineage: Eukaryota; Viridiplantae; Streptophyta; Magnoliopsida; Malpighiales; Euphorbiaceae.
CGAUAAGGCAAAACAAGGGGCAAUCUAUAGCUGCUCCGCUCAAUCACAAAUCAGAUUACAGAAGAAAAGUGAAAUUAUCUGGCAAUACGGCCCUUGCCGAAGUGGGGCCUUGGAAUAGAAAAGUCCGUCAGCAUUAACUUUUACCAUUGCUACUAUCAUCGAUAGAAACUAGACCCAAAUGCUAAUACGUGCACUUCAACAACAGAAUUGUCGCGGAGUCUAUUUGGAUGCAGAAGCUUAGGUUCAAUAUCAACAUCACGUCUGAAGUGCCUGAAGAAAGCAUAGUAAUAAAUCAACCAUAGGAUCAUGACGCUCUCUUUACCAGAGCUGAAAUCUUACUGGUGGGGAAGGACAAGUGGCUUUCUGGCUUUCCUUUUCCCGUAUUUGCCGAACAAAAAAAAAAUAAAAUAGAAAUCACUGACUUGCUGAACUGCCAACUAGAAGCUUAUGGCCCUUCGUUAGCAAUCCAUUUGUCAAGACCAUUGACAUAGCUUUAUCCAAGCUAGAAGAUCAAUAGAUCUACAAGAAGGCAUCAAUCUUUUGGAUGUCCCACAAAUGUUUCAAUUCUUCCAAGGACGCCAGACUAGGUCUAUAUGAAAACCAGAAUUUCACAUCCACAGCCAAUUUAGUUACUCUAAGAACCAGCGGAUGAUUUCUGAACCCACAUUUGCUUCUCAUGGACAGCAUAGCCACUAGCACCUCUUUUUUUUGAAGAUUUCUGCUCAGAGGUCAUGAAGCAAUCACCCUUCAUUCUAUGUGGUGCUGCAUGGUGACGUAAAUGUCUGUUGGAUCCUUUAAUAAAACCAGAAUGAAAUCCAGUAUUUUGCAGCACAGUAUAUGUCAAUUGCUCCUUAUUAUCAUGAGGAACAUCAGAAUGACAAGAAGGAUUCUGAAAACCACGAUCUGGUCUAUCCUUAUUUCUUCUUGUAAUUUUUUCCUUUUUUUCACUAGAAUAGCCUAAACUAUGCCUGUCUUUGAACUUGCCAUCUGAAUUUGAAUUCUGAGAUUUGUGCUGAGGCUUUAUGGCAGUCGAAGAUUGAGUUUCAUGUGCUUCAUUAUUUAAAAGGAUGCUCUUUGUCAGCCUUUCACUAGAUUUAAACCUCUGUUUUUGUUUAGGGGCAGUAGAAACAGGUGAGUUUCCAUGCUGUUGCGACAAAC